UUUAGAAAGUGUAUUUUGCCAAGGUUGAGGGUGUGCCCCCAUGACACAGCCUCAGGAGGUCUUGACGACAUGUGCCCAGGGUGGUCAGAUCACAACCUGGUUUUAUGUACUUUAGAAAAACAUGAGACAUCAAUCAACAUAUGUAAGAUGAACAUUGGUUCGGUCCAGAAAGGAGGGACCACUCAAAGUGAGGAGGGGGCUUCCAAGUCUUAGGUAGGUAACAGACAAAUAGUUACAAGCUUUCACAUCACCUACCAGGCCUGCCCUGCUCACCAAAAACUUCAUAUACUUGGUCAUCAUUUCCUACAUUCUCACACAGAAGAGAGCACUCAAAAAAAUAGUUUUGAGAAUCAUUUGCUAAUGAUUUAAUACUAUUAUAAGGGAAUAAAAGACUUUUCUUUUAAAUGAGUGCUUAAAGACGACUGGAAGCCCUCCUGAAGUUUAGGGGUGAAUGGUUUAUUAUUUUUUAUAUUUGGGGGCAAGGGCUUUCCAGUGAAGACUGGAAAAACAGCUAGGCCAAUUCUAAAAGUUGUAACACUGGGUGGAUGCUGAAGAAGCACAUAGUGUUAGGAAGGUGUAGGUCAGAUACGGCUUUAGAGAAUGUAGCAACUGAAAGCCCAGAUGGGAAGCUCCGUAGGCAGCUGGAUAAGCUAAUAUUUCUAAAUAAUAUGUUCAGAUAUCCGGACUGAAUACAAUUGCAACCUUCCCCACGAGCCAGCAGUGAGUUCUGAAGUUACAGAAGUGUGAUGAAUUGCGGUCAGUAUGGGUUCUACCUUCAAUUUGGAGUCAGUCAGUGACCUUAAAAUACCUGCCCAGCUGAAUUUUCUUAGAGCGCUUCAUAUCCUGUGGGCACUUUUACUCCCAAUUCCAGAUGAUGGCUUUUAGUCUGUGGAGCCGCUUUAAGAGGCAGAAACCUGACCGGAACUGCUAAAAGACUGUGAAGGUACUGCUGUGUGGACAGGCAGGGCGCGGUGCUCAAGGCUUUCCAAUGCUCCUGCAAUGGAUCCUCCCUACCCAGCCCACAACCUGGCAACCCAGCGGCCAGCUGUUCUCUGCAGCUUUCUACUAUCAUGGACGCAGGAAACGGCGGUGGGUGGCUUCUGGUUUCUGACUGGGGGAGUAGAAAGUGAUGCUGCACGGAUCGAAAGCAGAGAAGCUUUUAAGCCAUUUGAGAAACUGCAUCUGAAGCUUUGCCCUCCUUCCCUGCUCCUUGGAUCGAGUUGUAAGGAGAACAUGCCCAUUGUCUUGAUGGCUGUAGUGUGUGGACACCACAGGUGGUGAUGAAGAUAUGGGUUUCCACCCACGCUGUAGAUGGAAUGUUUGUGUCCUCCCGAAAUUCCUAUGUUGAAGCUUAACCACCAAUGUGAUGGUAUUUGGAGAUGGGCCUUUGGUAGGUAAUUAGGGUUACAUUAAGUCACGGGGCGGGGCCCUUAUGAUGGAUCUGGUAAGGAGAGCACGCUGUCUCUCUCUUCCCACCAGGUGAGGAUGCAAAGAGAAAGUGGCUGCCUGCAAACCAGGAGGAGAGCCCUCACCAGGAACCAAUCUAGCUGACACUUUGAACUUGGACUCCAAACCUCCAGUACUGUACGAAAUAAAUAUGUGUUUUCAAUGUCAGUUAGUCUACAUUAUUUUGUUUCAAGUAAUAUGACCUGAAAAUACAUUUUCCCCUCACCCCGCCUGAGCAAUAUCUAAGUUACUUAAGGAACCCAGGGCACAUCAAAGGAGAAAUGUCCCAUUCACAAGGCACAGCCAUGCCCAGGAGAAGCAGCCCGGCACAGAAGGGAGCACACGGGCUCGGGGCUCUGCCGCUCAUUCUUCCUUGACCCUGGGCAAGUCACUGAGGGGAGCCUUAGCUGACCUGUUUGUAGUGGGCUUAGUAGUGCUUGCCCUGCCUCCUGUGGAGGGCUGCAGAGACCAGAUGUCAAAGCACUUUAUCCGUAGGGUUUAUUUGAACAAGGAAGGAAAUGUGCAUAUGCUCCAGGAUGUCUGUGUAUCCAAAGUUACGCUUCCCCGCACUGAUCCUUUGCUGCACAUCGCUGUCUCUCACUUUUACCUCGUUCUCCGGACCUUUGAUUUUGCACUCAUCUCACGU
RNAcentral lists this long non-coding RNA (2092 nucleotides) under Papio anubis (olive baboon). RNAcentral's name for it is "lncRNA (ENSPANG00000049075.1)". The record is from RNAcentral. Lineage: Eukaryota; Metazoa; Chordata; Mammalia; Primates; Cercopithecidae.